RNAcentral lists this ribosomal RNA (433 nucleotides) under uncultured bacterium. RNAcentral describes it as "partial 16S ribosomal RNA". It matches the Rfam family "Bacterial small subunit ribosomal RNA", at positions 29 to 506 of the family's 1533-position model. The record is from RNAcentral.
AGCGAACGCUGGCGGCAGGCCUAACACAUGCAAGUCGAACGAACCUUUCGGGGUUAGUGGCGGACGGGUGAGUAACACGUGGGAACGUGCCUUUAGGUUCGGAAUAACUCAGGGAAACUUGUGCUAAUACCGAAUGUGCCCUUCGGGGGAAAGAUUUAUCGCCUUUAGAGCGGCCCGCGUCUGAUUAGCUAGUUGGUUGAGGUAAUGGCUCACCAAGGCGACGAUCAGUAGCUGGUCUGAGAGGAUGAUCAGCCACAUUGGGACUGAGACACGGCCCAAACUCCGACGGGAGGCACAGGGGGGAAUUUUUGGGAAUGGGGCAAAGGCCGAACGCAGCCUGGCGGGGUAAGUGAUAAGGGGUUAGGAUUGGAAAAAUUCUUCCCCGGGGGCGAAUAAGGAGGGUACCGGGAGAAGGAGCCCCGCCAAACUUGGU